GAUGAACGCUAGCUACAGGCUUAACACAUGCAAGUCGAGGGGAAACGACAUUGAAGCUUGCUUCGAUGGUCGUCGACCGGCGCACGGGUGAGUAACGCGUAUCCAACCUGCCUCUGACCAAGGGAUAACCCGUCGAAAGUCGGCCUAAUACCUUAUGCAGUCGUCGGAAGUCAUCUGAUGACGACGAAAGAUUUCAUCGGUGAGAGAUGGGGAUGCGUCUGAUUAGCUUGUUGGCGGGGUAACGGCCCACCAAGGCAACGAUCAGUAGGGGUUCUGAGAGGAAGGUCCCCCACAUUGGAACUGAGACACGGUCCAAACUCCUACGGGAGGCAGCAGUGAGGAAUAUUGGUCAAUGGGCGAGAGCCUGAACCAGCCAAGUAGCGUGCAGGAGGACGGCCCUAUGGGUUGUAAACUGCUUUUAUGCGGGGAUAAAGUGAGGGACGUGUCCUUCAUUGCAGGUACCGCAUGAAUAAGGACCGGCUAAUUCCGUG
This 491-nucleotide ribosomal RNA is filed under the name uncultured bacterium. RNAcentral's name for it is "partial 16S ribosomal RNA". It matches the Rfam family "Bacterial small subunit ribosomal RNA", at positions 28 to 507 of the family's 1533-position model. The record is from RNAcentral.